AGGCACUACUUACGAGAUAACUAA
This 24-nucleotide non-coding RNA is filed under the name Arabidopsis thaliana (thale cress). Lineage: Eukaryota; Viridiplantae; Streptophyta; Magnoliopsida; Brassicales; Brassicaceae. The record is from RNAcentral.